This 253-nucleotide ribosomal RNA is filed under the name uncultured bacterium. RNAcentral's name for it is "partial 16S ribosomal RNA". It matches the Rfam family "Bacterial small subunit ribosomal RNA", at positions 524 to 776 of the family's 1533-position model. The record is from RNAcentral.
GACAGAGGGUGCAAACGUUGUUCGGAAUUACUGGGCGUAAAGCGUGUGUAGGCGGCUACGUAAGUCGGAUGUGAAAGCCCCAGGCUCAACCUGGGAAGUGCACUCGAUACUGCGUAGCUUGAGUAUCGGAGAGGUUGGUGGAAUUCUCGGUGUAGAGGUGAAAUUCGUAGAUAUCAAGCGGAACACCGGUGGCGAAGGCGGUCUUCUGGACGAUGACUGACGCUGAGACGCGAAAGCGUGGGGAGCAAACAGG